GGCAGUCACACUGUUAUGACCAUUAUCAAAUAUUACAAGUUUUUAGAACUAAAUUCUUUAUUUUGGGUGUGCACAGAGUUAACAAAUAGCCUUGGUACAUCACAACAGCGACCCCAGGUACGGUUGUUAAACAUUGAUAUUACAUGUCAUGGCAGUCGUUAUACAGGCACAUUUUUAUGAUAGUAUGAUCUCUCUUACAGUAGUUCACAUCCGCUUUUAGUUCAGAUAAGUUAGCACAAAGUACAUCAUGGGAGAAUAGGCAGAGGAGAAACAAAAGAGGAAAACAUGACAUGCAGAGAUUAUAUGAACAAGAUUAUACUAUUAAGCUCCUGCUAGGCUUAUUGACGAGGUGGUUGUGCAUCUCUCUUGUCUGCCUAAGCGGUGAUUAAAUGGUUGCAUGUUGUUCUAGCCUUAAGCUAAGGUGUGGGUGGCUUGGAAACAUAGACAAAAAUAUAAAAGCAGCGGCAACAAUGAGGAUUGUGUUUCAAAGCUUAAAAUGACCACCUCGUGUUGGCCUGGGAUUGCCCCAACGAGGGACAAGAACCUCGCAGCAAGCCUCUCCUCAAGACCAGGGUUGCCUCUUGCACUGGGGCACAGCUAACAGUCGUUAGGUAUAUGUUAUGCCGUUUUUUAGGGUCGAAAACUGGAGAAGUUUUCAGGAGCUACUCCACUGUGCGUUCCCUCAGCAUGACGGUCCGGCCUCGCCCCGGCAAACAAUUUUUUAAACUGUGUACUGUGUAAUUUUUUUAAACUGACAAUUUGUAACAAAUUAAAAAUCUUUUUCAUACGUUUCUUUAAUAAAUUACAUCAUGGGGGGCGGGGCAGGACCGCCGAGCGGGAAAGACACAAGUCAGAGCAGCUCUGGGACCACACUAAAGAAUACUCUUUAAAACCAUGUCUUACUAUCCAAAACCAGACCAACUGCGAAGACACCCAAUGCUGAGGGUCUGCUGGACCCGGGGAGAGACUGGCUCGUCGAGCUUCAGUCCCUCAGGGGAAAAAACUACGCUGCCCCAACUGAGUCCUUCUCUGGCGGUGAGAGGGAUGGACGGCCGCUGCCCCACUAUCCUGCACCACAGCACCCAGCCACAGGUACAUACCGACCGAGACCCGUCCCAUCCCUAUGGACCGGUGGGGGUGAUCCUGGUCCUCACCCUUUGGCCCUGACCGUGGCACCGCA
Non-coding RNA from Pelobates cultripes (western spadefoot toad), 1180 nucleotides. The record is from the annotation of a GenBank genome assembly. NCBI's taxonomy places the organism in Eukaryota, Metazoa, Chordata, Amphibia, Anura, Pelobatidae.